RNAcentral lists this long non-coding RNA (1345 nucleotides) under Durio zibethinus. Its description in RNAcentral is "long non-coding RNA (DZIB_LNC001309)". The record is from RNAcentral. Lineage: Eukaryota; Viridiplantae; Streptophyta; Magnoliopsida; Malvales; Malvaceae.
CUCAAGUCAUUAUUUAUUUAUCAUUUAAACAACUUUAUACAUAAAAAGUAAAACUAAUUUGCUAGAUUAUUUUAACUUUUUGGUGAAAUUUUAAAAAAUAUUUUCACUUUAUAACAAUUAAAGAAAGUAAAACUAUUUCUGUCUUCCCUAAAAUUACAUUUUAAAACGUUUAUUUAAACAAUAAUUUAUUCAUUAUUUAUUUGUAAAAAUAAUUUGCACAAAUUAUUUAAACAAUAUAAAUAUAACAAUACAAAAAAUGAAAUAAAAUAAAGAAAAUAUAUAUACUUUGCAAUCUUCAACGAACUUUAAUGCUAGACUUCCUGUUAGAUCUUGACACCUUUGACUAUUUAUUGUUGGGCUGCAAAAAACAAUUGUGCCGGAUUGGAUUGGGCAAAAAACUCGCAAUGGGCUAGGGCUUAAACAGCCCAGUACUUCAUUUUCUUUGUUUUUUUUUUUUUUUCUUUUCUCCUUCUUUCCUUCUUCCCUUCUCUCUUUACCACCCAUUCCCUCUCCAGUAAUUUCCAACACCACCUCUGGCCAGAUUUCGAAGAUCGAUUGCCCCGCCAACCACCAUUCGACAACCGACUCUUUUUUUCUUUUUCUUUUUCUUCUUUCUCGCCCUUCCCUCUUCUCUGUCUACCAUCCUGUCUUCCUAUAGCAACUUCUGACGCCAUUUCUAGCCAAAUCCGAAACCUCCCUCUCAGCCUUUUCUAAGUUUUCACCAUUGGUAUUUCUUAAAAGCUUAUAGCCCACCAAAAAACCACCUUGCCGCUGUUCGAUUGGCCUGAAAAUUUUGCAUGUUGAUCCUCUCUCCAUACUCUACCUUUCCACCAUUGGGAUUUUCGAAAGCGUUUGCCGCCGAUGUCGAUCUCCGCUGUUGCCGCCACCGAUUGUGGUUUUCUUACACUUUUUUUCUUGUUGCUAUGGUGGUAUUGUAUAAUUUUGUUGUUUAAGAUAGAUGUUAUCUAGUGGUUGAAUCUGGGUUUUUUUUUUGUUUUUUUUUGGGGUGGGGGGAUGGUUAUUGAUGAGGAUGGUGUAGGCAGAGGUUGCUUUGGAUUUUUUUUUUUCGACUUUUUUGUCCCUUUUUUGUUGGGAUUUCUCUUCGUGAAUUUCUCCCUUUACUGCCUUUCAAAGGCUCAAAUUGUAAAGUCAAUUAAGGUUCAAAUCACAGAUUUUUGGGAUUGCCAGUGACUUUUGAGGUGCUAUCGAAUAAUUUUUACACCAAUAUUUCUGUUGCAUGGUUAGGCAGGUGGCAGCGCAUUGAAUGCACGAAGACCCAUAAAAUUGACAUAAAGUAGAUUUGAUUAAAAGUUAACAUAAAAUUAAUGUAGAGUUUCAUCAAAAC